ACGAACGCUGGCGGCGUGCUUAACACAUGCAAGUCGAACGGAAAGGCCCUGCUUGCAGGGUACUCGAGUGGCGAACGGGUGAGUAACACGUGGGUGAUCUGCCCUGCACUUCGGGAUAAGCCUGGGAAACUGGGUCUAAUACCGGAUAGGAGCCAUUUUUAGUGUGAUGGUUGGAAAGUUUUUUCGGUGUAGGAUGAGCUCGCGGCCUAUCAGCUUGUUGGUGGGGUAAUGGCCUACCAAGGCGGCGACGGGUAGCCGGCCUGAUAGGGUGGACGGCCACAUUGGGACUGAGAUACGGCCCAGACUCCUACGGGAGGCAGCAGUGGGGAAUAUUGCACAAUGGGCGCAAGCCUGAUGCAGCGACGCCGCGUGGGGGAUGACGGCCUUCGGGUUGUAAACUCCUUUCGCUAGGGACGAAGCUUUUUGUGACGGUACCUAGAUAAGAAGCACCGGCUAACUACGUG
This 464-nucleotide ribosomal RNA is filed under the name uncultured bacterium. Its description in RNAcentral is "partial 16S ribosomal RNA". It matches the Rfam family "Bacterial small subunit ribosomal RNA", at positions 29 to 507 of the family's 1533-position model. The record is from RNAcentral.